GCGGAUAUGGCGUAAUUGGUAGCCGCGCUAGACUUAGGAUCUAGUGCCGAAAGGCGUGGGGGUUCGAGUCCCUCUAUCCGCACAA
This 85-nucleotide transfer RNA is filed under the name Bacteroidota bacterium. RNAcentral describes it as "Bacteroidetes bacterium (sediment metagenome) tRNA-Leu". It matches the Rfam family "tRNA". Rfam says of the family: Transfer RNA (tRNA) molecules are approximately 80 nucleotides in length. Their secondary structure includes four short double-helical elements and three loops (D, anti-codon, and T loops). Further hydrogen bonds mediate the characteristic L-shaped molecular structure. tRNAs have two regions of fundamental functional importance: the anti-codon, which is responsible for specific mRNA codon recognition, and the 3' end, to which the tRNAs corresponding amino acid is attached (by aminoacyl-tRNA synthetases). tRNAs cope with the degeneracy of the genetic code in two manners: having more than one tRNA (with a specific anti-codon) for a particular amino acid; and 'wobble' base-pairing, i.e. permitting non-standard base-pairing at the 3rd anti-codon position. Lineage: Bacteria; Pseudomonadati; Bacteroidota. The record is from RNAcentral. RNAcentral also lists the same sequence under 1 other name.